GGAAUCUUGGGAAUGGGCGAAAGCCUGACCCAGCAACGCCGCGUGGGCGAUGAAGGCCUUAGGGUCGUAAAGCCCUUUUGCGGGGGACGAUGAUGACGGUACCCCGCGAAUAAGCCACGGCUAACUACGUGCAAGCAGCCGCGGUAAUACGUAGGUGGCAAGCGUUGUCCGGAUUUACUGGACGUAAAGGGCGCGCAGGCGGUCUGUUUAGUCUAGGGUGAAAGCUCCCGGCUCAACUGGGAGAGGUCCUUGGAUACUGGCAGACUCGAGGGAGGCAGAGGAAAGUGGAAUUCCCGGUGUAGUGGUGAUAUGCGUAGAUAUCGGGAGGAACACCAGUGGCGAAGGCGGCUUUCUGGGCCUACCCUGACGCUGAGGGGCGAAAGCGUGGGGAGCAAAC
RNAcentral lists this ribosomal RNA (397 nucleotides) under uncultured bacterium. RNAcentral describes it as "bacterial SSU rRNA". It matches the Rfam family "Bacterial small subunit ribosomal RNA", at positions 358 to 773 of the family's 1533-position model. The record is from RNAcentral.